This 133-nucleotide microRNA precursor is filed under the name Manihot esculenta (cassava). RNAcentral's name for it is "miR535d stem-loop (mes-MIR535d)". Its record names the gene mes-MIR535d. The stretch from base 18 to 112 matches the Rfam family "MIR535 microRNA precursor family". Lineage: Eukaryota; Viridiplantae; Streptophyta; Magnoliopsida; Malpighiales; Euphorbiaceae. The record is from miRBase by way of RNAcentral.
GUUCCCUUAGUGUUGACAUAAUUGGUUGACGACGAGAGAGAGCACGCAUGUUAGCAUUCAUGCUGUGAUCAUGGUUGUCUACAAGUGUGCUCCCUACCGUCGUCAUGCAAUAUGCUCAAAUAACGUUUGUGCU